GCCAAGGCUACUCGUCUCCGUGAGGCAGCUAUUCAGGAAGUGGCUGCAGCGCUCCCGUAUAACCCCCAUUAUGAUUUUGGGUUCUGCCAGGACCAUCCUUGGGAGUAGACCAAUUUAGGCCAAAAGCCUAAGCUUGGGGGAGUACGUGUUCUCACCAACUUUACAUUUUUGCUUAUGCUUUCACUUUGUUAGCCGGUGUUCACACUUUGCCACUGUAUCAUCCAUGCUAGUUUAUUUUCUUUUUCUUGUUUUCUUUUCGUGUGUCUGUCUAGUUUGAGAAAACCCAAAAAGAUUUUCUUUUUCUUCUUUUGCUUGUUGGGAGCUUCCCCGUGUAGAUAGUUUUAUUUUUCUUUGGGUCAAGGUAGAAGAUAUUGGUUACAAUGUUUAGUGGCUCUUGCAUGCAUACCUGUUUAGCUUUCAAAGAGACAUAUUACUUUGUCUUCUCCUUUGUGUUUGCCUGCAGAUUCCAGCUUUAGUCCAAUGCACGAGCACGCUUAUUAUUGUUCACAUCGUUCGGUCGUGCAAGUGAAAGGCAAUAAUGAUGAUAUAUGAUGAAGUGACUGAGCCUGGAAAAGCUGGUAUGAACUCGAUCUAUUUUGUUUUUGUAAAUAUGACUAGCUCGUCAUGCCUGAUUCAGCUUUGUUGUGAGAGAAACAUGUUUGCAAUGACAACUUAGAGAUCAUAGUUGCUUAUGCCAUGCUUAUUUAGCUAGGAGCUUAUAAUGGUUUGUCUUGGUUGCCCACAUGAAUGUUGAGAUGACUAUGAUGUAGUAUGAUAGGAUGGUAUCCUCCUUUGAAUGUUUCAAGUGGCUUGACUAGGCGCAUGUUCACGCAUGUAGUUGAAACAAAAUCAACAUAGCCUCUAUGAUGUUCAUGUUCAUGGUGAUUUAUGUCCUACUCAUGCUUGUACUCAAUGUUAGUUAAUCUCAAUGCAUUUUGAUGACUGUUGUCGCUCUCUAGUUGGUCGCUUCCCAGUCUUUUGCUAGCCUUCACUUGUACUAAGCAGGAAUACUGCUUGUGCAUCCACUUCCCUAAACCCAAAGUUGUGCCAUAUGAGUCCACCAUACCUACCUAUGUGCGGUAUCUACCUGUCGUUCCAAGUAAAUUUGCAUGUGCCACUCUCUAAAUCUUCAAGAAAUAAUCUGUUUUGCAUGCCCGAACCGCUCAUGUGGUGACAGGGGGCUAUUGCUAUCUUCCAUGCUAUGCGUGUUAUCCUCGAUAUGUGUUUAUUCACUAUCAUUCACGAGAAAGGGGCCGGUAAUUGGAAUUCCCAGUUCCAUGCUCAAAUCAAAAGAUAAUUGCAAACAAAACUCCCCCGGGAUUGAUGUUGGUAUGGACAGUACCCGAGGAUUCGGCUGGCCGUGGAGUGUGAUUGAUUGGUGGUGGGGGAGUCAAAACUUUACUUUUCUGUUUGGGAACCGCCUAUAGCAUGUGUAGCGUGGAAGAUGUUGAGAACUCUUAGUCAUUGCGUUGACAAUGAAAGCAUGCCACCCAAAAUUAUUAUCUCUGUUUUGAAAGCUUGAGCUCUGGCACCUCUACAAAUCAAUGCUUCCCUCUACGAAGGGCCUGUCUAUUUAUGUUCCUGUUGAGUCAUCCUCCUCUUACAAAAGCACCAAUUAGAGAGCACCUCUGUCAUUUUUAUGCCUUGCUUUUAACUGUGUUGAGUAUGACUAUGACUGGAUCUUCAUUGCCUUGAAUUACAAUGUUUAGUCAGCCCUUGGUCUUCGAAGGUGCUCUGCAUUUAUGUUUUGUGGUCUCAGAAAGAGCUAGCGAGAUACCAUCUAUUCAUACUGCUUCAUGUUGUUUUGAUUGAAGUGUUGACACUUGAGGCUUAUUAUUAUUUGCUCGCUAGCUGAUUAUGCCAUUGAUAUGAGUUUACCGUGAGACCUAGAUGUCAUUUGCUUAUGUGGUUUGAUUGUGAUCUUGCUGAAAUUCUGGUUAUGAGUUAGACAUAGUUGCAACAACAAGAUCAAACAGAGUUCGUCAAAGUUUUUCUUUUGUCUCUUUCAGUUUGUCAACUGAAUUGCUUGAGGACAAGCAAGGCUUUAAGCUUGGGGGAGUUGAUACGCCUCCGUCGUAUCUACUUUUUCGAACUCUUUUGCCCCUGUUUUGGACUCUACUUUGCAUGAUUUGAACGUAACUAACCCGGACUGACGUUGUUUUCACCAGAAUUGCCAUGGUGUUGUUUUUGUGCAGAAAUAAAAGUUCUCGGAAUGUCCUGGAAAUUUACGGAGAUUUUUUCUCGAAUAAAAGAAAAAUACAUGCGCAAAGAUCCACCGAAGGGGGCGUGCCAGUGGGCCACAAGCCCACAGGCCGCAGCCACUCCCUAGGUCACGCCGUGCAGGCUUGUGGGGCCCACGUGGCACCACCGCCCCCAAACUCAGCUUUAUUUAUUCCGUCUCGCCCGGAAAAAAAUCAGAGAGAAGGUUUCAUCGCGUUUUGUGAUACGGAGGCGCCGCCACUUCCCGUUCUUCAUCUGGAGGGCAGAUCUGGAGUCCGUUUCGGGCUCCGGAGAGGGGAAAUCGUCGUCAUGGUUAUCAUCAACCUUUCUCCAUCGACAAUUCCAUGAUGCUCUUCAUCGUUCNNNNNNNNNNGAGUAAUCUCAUCGUAGGCUUGCUGGACGGUGAUGAGUUGGAUGAGAUCUAUCAUGUAAUCGAGUUAGUUUUUGACGGGGAUUGAUCCCUAGUAUCCACUAUGUUCUAGAUUUAUGUUGCUACUCUUGGCUAUGCUUAAUGCUUGUCACUAGGGCCCGAGUGCCAUGAUUUCAGAUCUGAACCUAUUAUGUUGUCGCCAAUAUAUGUGUGUUUUAGAUCCUAUCUUGCAAGUUGUAGUCACCUACUAUGUGUUAUGACCCGGCAACCCCGGAGUGACAAUAGCCGGAACCACUCCCGGAGAUGACCAUAGUAUGAGGAUUUCAUGUAUUCACCGCGUGUUAAUGCAUUGGUCCGGUUCUUUAUUAAAAGGAGAACCUUAAUAUCCCGUAGUUUCCAUUAGGACCCCGCUGCCACAGGAGGGAUGGACAAUAGAUGUCAUGCAAGUUCUUUUCCCUAAGCACGUAUGACUACAUACGGAAUACAUGCCUACAUUAGAUUGACGAACGGGAGCUAGUUACUUAUCUCUCUGUGUUAUAGCUGUUACAUGAUGAAUCACAUCCGUAAUACUCAUCCAUCACCGAUCCACUGCCUACGAGUCUUUUACUACUGGUUCUCGCUAAGUUACUUUGUCUAGGCUUGUCCCUUGCUACAAAAGUGAUUGGGCCACUUUGCUGCUGCUGUCACUACUGUUGUUACUUGUUACUUUGCUGUUGCUGCUACUGCUGCUCCUUACUACUCCACUGUUACUUGUUGCAAGACUUUGUUGGCGCCGUUGUCGAGGCUAGGUAAGCGACACUAACAUCCCGUCAACAAGGCUUUUUCUAGCAUCGUUGCUAUCGUACUACCUUGCUACUGAUACUUUGCUUGCAGAUACUAAUCUUUCAGGUGUGGUUGAAUCUGACACAUUCAGCUGCUAAUACUUAAGAAUAUUCUUUCGCUUCCCGUCUUGGAAAAUCAAUAAAUUUCUGUUUAAUACUCUACCCUCAAAAACUGUUGCGAUCCCAUAUGCUUGUGGGACAUCAAGCAUCAGAGACAAAGGCAUCGUUUGGACUCUCAGGUGUAGCAGCAACAGGGUUGCUAGCGUGCAGGUUCCUAUCAUCUUUCUUCUUCUUUCUAGGAUGACUAGGUGCAUCAGUGCUAACUCCUUGAGAAUCUUGUUCAAUUCUCAUCGGAUGACCCUCAGGAUACAGAGGUUCCUGGGUCAAUCUACCGCCUCUAGUGACGACUCUGAUAGAAUUAUCAUUCAACUCAUUAAGCAAGUCGUUCUGAGCUUUAAGUACUUGUUUUACCUGAGUAGUAACCAUAGAAGCAUGUUUACUCAGAAGUUUAAGAUCAUUGACAUUUAUGUCCACACAAGCACUUAAAUGACUAAGCAUACGAGCAUUCUUUUCCAAUUGUCUGCUAACAUAAUCAUUGAAACUUUGUUGUUUGGCAGCGAAGUUAUCAAAUUCAUCCAUGCAUAAGCUAGCAGGUUUAUCAAAAGGAAUAUCACUCUCAUCAAACCUACGCAUAGAAUUUACUUCUACUACCUGUAUCGGGUUAUCGAGACCAUGGAUCUCUUCUAUAGGUGGUAGAUUUUUGACAUCUUCAGAUUUAAUGCCUUUCUCUCGCAUACAUUUCUUGGCUUCUUGCAUAUCUUCNNNNNNNNNNGUUCAUGUAUUCACCGCGUGUUAAUGCGUUGGUCCGGUUCUUUAUUAAAAGGAGAAACUUAAUAUCCCGUAGUUUCCAUUAGGACCCCGCUGCCACGGGAGGGAUGGACAAUAGAUGUCAUGCAAGUUCUUUUCCCUAAGCACGUAUUACUACAUAUGGAAUACAUGCCUACAUUAGAUCGACGAACGGGAGCUAGUUACUUAUCUCUACGUGUUAUAGCUGUUACAUGAUGAAUCAUAUCCGUCAUACUCAUCCAUCAUCGAUCCACUGCCUACGAGUCUUUUACUACUGGUCCUCGCUAUGUUACUUUGUCUAGGCUUGUCCCUUGCUACAAAAGGGAUUGGGCCACUUUGUUGCUGCUGUCACUUUGCUACUACUGUUGCUACUGCUGUUACUCUGCUGCUGCUAUUACUGUUGUCCCUUGCUACAUCACUGCUACUUGUUGCAAGACUUUUUUGGAGCCGUUGCCUGGGAAGAAUAGUUCCCCGUCCACGUGCUCUUUACUAGCGCCAUUGAUACAACAGUUAGGAAUAGUCUGUCGUCAACAGAUCGUUUCUGGCACCGUUGCUAUCAUACCACUUUGCUACUGACACUUUGCUUGCAGACACUAAUCUUUCAGGUGUGGUUGAAUCUGACAAACUCAGCUACUAAUGCUUGAGAAUAUUCUUUCGAUUCCCGUCUUGGUGAAUCAACAAAUUUGGGUUGAAUACUCUACCCUCGAAAACUGCUGCGAUCCCAUACGCUUGUGGGUCAUCAGGGUCCCACCCGUCAGGUUUGAAUUUCCACCGACGAUAGAGACUUGCGGUGGUCGCCGAUGUUGAUUCAAGGCAUGGCAGGGCAACCAAGGGCACAUGUGCACUCACCGUGUCCUUAUGUGUUGAUGGCAGGUUGAACAGGUCGUCGGCAAGCACCACGUCGACAACGUAUUCUUCUCCUGUGCACGGCGGCGUCGGGCGUCACACGAUCUCACCAGAGGGAACUCCUACCAUCAAACUGAGGCGCGGCUUAGGGGAAUGGACUCAACAGGAGGCUACAGGCUAAUUUUGGGGCGCUCAGCUCCACUCACCGAAGGGAAUUUUGCCGGGACCCGAGUCGGAUCGAGGCGGCCGGAGUCGAGGAAGAAGACCUCCCCGGGCUUUCUUCUGGCUUGAGUGUGGCUCUGAGAGGAGGGGGAUAACUGCUCGGGACCUCCUAGGUACUAAGGUGUACUAGGGGUAAUUUACUUGAGGUCAAUUUCAAAAGGAAUCUAGCACUUCCUUUGCAAAUCUCGAGACCCCGAAAUAAAAGGCAGAAGUGGAUUUUAAAAUAUUUUAUGAAGAAGAAAGUAUUUUUCCUAGUUGGCAAAAUUUUGAAAAGUUGGAUUGCCUUCCUAGGUCAGAGAGAAACUUGAGAGAAGAAGGGUUUGAAAUGCAAGGCAAGCCAAGAGUGAAAUAGUUCUCAAGUUAAAGCAUUUGGAAAAUAUUUCCUCCAAGGUAUUCUCACAUAAAACAAUGAAAAUGCCAAGGAGAAAUUUUUGUAGGCAAGAAACCUUAACAGAAGUAUUUGAAGACCAGAUUCAAAGUUGAUUUGGAGUUUUUGUCAAAAAGAUUUUGGAAAUUCACUUUUAAAAUAAUAAAAAUCAAAAAAAUCCAAAUUGAAAAAUUAUGAGUGUUACAUCAGGUCUACCCGUUGCAACGUCUCGCACAAUCCCUCGAGUGAUCGUUGUACCUAUACAUGUAAACAGUUCCCAAGUUAGGUCAUGUUUGGAACCACAAUAGAUUAUGAUAAUCUGGAUUAUGAAGAUAGAUUAUAUAAUCUAGUUUAUAAAAAUAAUCUAGAUGAGCAUGUUUGAAGGUCGGAUUAUAUAAACUGUAAUCCAAUUUUUACAUUACAUAAUGACCUGUGUGUCCUCUAUUUUUUAAAAAAGGAGGAUGGCGGUGGCAGGAAUGUAAUUAUCUCCAACUUUACAAGGGUAGUGGGUCAUUAGCAAUCUAUAAUCUGAUUUUAGCUGGGUAGUGUAGAUUGUGAGUUUUUAAUAAUAUGUCCAUCUAGUUUUUAUAAUUUACACCUAAUCUGUCAUGUUUGAAGGCAUAAUAAACUAUAAAAACUGAAUUAUAUAAUCUGAGUGAUUCCAAACAGGGCCUUAAUACCGGACAGAGUGUGUGAGUUGCAUUGUCUAUCUCUCUACAGCUUGCCGGCUCCACUGUAGCUCCUAAGGGGCAACCUCACCUUCGCUGUCGUCCAUUCAAGAGGCCCGGUCCACGAAAAGCGCUAAGUUGUUUUCUUGUGUGUCUACUUCCUUUCUUAGGUCAACAACUUAAGUCCAGUGCUUUAGCAGUUUAGCUAGUUUAGUUCUAGACUUCUAGUUAGUAGCUAGUGUAGUUUGAGAUAUAAUUAAUCCAUAAACUAAUUUCUAGCCUUAUUUGAUUGUUUCAUUUUUUUAGACCCGGAAUAAUUCUAAUAAAUACCACAUAUUUUCAAGAUUAACGUGGCAAUGUAGCAAAAUUACAAUUUAUUUACACAAAAAGAAUUAGAAAAUAAUGAUUUUUUUAAAAGUUUUUAGUUUUUUCACCAUAAAGUUUGAACACAUCCUUUAUUUUUUUCUAGAUUCGCCACUGAAUUCACAACACCCAAAACCCUUGUGUGAAGUGAUACUCUUGUGUGCAAAAACAACCCGAGGAAACCGAAAAAGGGAAUCGUUUUCCACCCGCGCGUCGGUCACCCCCUCGCGCGCGUGGACCCAUGCAACAUUUUUUCCAUCCGCCUGCUUCGUUGUUCACUGGAUGCAACAUUUUUCGUCUAAAUAUGUUGCAACCAGCGUCAUAUUUGCUGCAAGCGUUUUUUACUAUUUUUUUGUCCCAGUAAAAAAACUGCAUAUACGUUUGGUUGCAACUCCAGUUCAUCGGAUCUUUUGUUACAAUCGAUUUUUUUUUACUUUUGCUACAACCGUGUUAAUUUUUGCUACAACCGACAUCAUGUUUUGCUGCAACCGUUCACUAAAAAAGUUGCAUACACGUCACGUAAAUAUUUGCUACAACCGACGUUUGAUUUUUGCUACCACGCACCACCAGCUUUGUUUUUUUGUUACGAUCACGUAGAUAUUUUUUUUGCUAUAAAUUUUGUUUUUUGUUGCAACCGUUAAAAAAAUUAUUGCAUCGCAUCGAAAUUUUGAUGUAUAGAUAAAAAAAUGUUGCAUGCGAAUUCAAUGAUGCAGACGACGCGGAGUUGAUGAAUCCUACGGCUCUCGCGCGGCCGGUCGGAAGUUUGGGCCGGCGAGCUGGCGCAGAUCGGUCCCACGGAAAAAUCGCCGUGUCACCCCUCCUUAUCCUCUUCGUUUCCUUUUUCGAUUUUGCCUCCCCACUCCAUUGUCGACGGUCACGGCGGCAAGGCCACCGCCGCCAAGUGGAAGACGGCUCGACACCUACUUCCUCCGCCUCCCAGAUUCCCGCGGCACCAUCUUCGCACGCCUCGCCGCCGGACGCUCCCCCGAGCCCCUCCCGUCGGAGCACGCCACCUCCAAGGUAUUCUUCUCCCACAGCCCUCUUCCGCACCCCCCUCCCCCCCGUACUGAACUGGAGUGGAGAUCCAUCUGGGAUUGGGAUUGGGUCGAUUCCUUCCGCCGGCUAAGUAAUCUAGCUUGCUUGGAUAGUUCGAAGAAGUUUGUUCUACUCUUCGCUGCUGUGAGCAAUCUAAUCUAAAUCGUUCUGUUUGAGAUGAGAUGCUCCAGUUGAUCCCAUGGGUCGAUUUCUUUUACGGCAGUGGAUCCAGUUUCCGGCGGGUUCGUUUGCUCGUUCUUGGCAGAGUAAUGGUAGCUCGUUGCAGGUUAUAACUAGUUAUUAACGACCAUGCUGUUUGACGCUUGCAGAUCACUCGGAUUCCUGGGGUGCUGAUCGCGGAGGAAGGAGAAGAUGGGCAGCGUGGACAAGUUCAGAUUCUGCAUUGAUCGGGGCGGCACGUUCACCGACAUCUACGCCGAGGUCCCCGGCAAGCCGGAAGGCUAUGUUAUGAAGCUCCUCUCCGUCGACCCGUCCAACUACGACGAUGCUCCGAUCGAGGGGAUCAGGAGGAUUCUAGAGGAGUUUUCUGGUGAAAGAAUCCCCCGGUCGUCCAAGAUCCCAACCGGCAUGAUCGACUGGAUCCGGAUGGGCACCACGGUAGCCACGAACGCUCUUCUUGAGAGGAAGGGUGAGAGGAUCGCGCUCUGUGUCACCCGGGGCUUUA
RNAcentral lists this long non-coding RNA (8443 nucleotides) under Hordeum vulgare. Its description in RNAcentral is "long non-coding RNA (HVUL_LNC016766)". The record is from RNAcentral. Lineage: Eukaryota; Viridiplantae; Streptophyta; Magnoliopsida; Poales; Poaceae.